GGUCAAGUUACUAAGGGCGUACGGGGGAUGUCUUGGUAUCAAGAGGCGAUGAAGAGCGUGGAAGUCUGCGAAAAGCUUGGGGGAGCUGACAAACAAGUGAUGAUCCCGAGAUGCUCGAAUUAACUUAUACUGAAUACAUAGGUAUAUGUGGCCAACCCAGGGAAUUGAAACAUCUUAGUACCUGGUGGAAAAGAAAGAAAAAUCGAUUCCGUUAGUAGCGGCGAGCGAAAGCGGAAUAGCCCAAACCGAGGAGGUUUCCUCUUCGGGGUUGUAGGGCCUCUCACAUGGGAGUUACAAAGCGAACAUUAACUGAACAGCAUGGAAUGGCUGACCAUAGACGGUGACAGUCCGGUAAGUGAAAAUGUAGCGCCUCCCGAGGGGUACCUGAGUAAGCCGAGCCACGUGGAAUCUCGGCUGAAUCUACGGGGACCAUCCCGUAAGGCUAAAUACUCCUUGAUGACCGAUAGUUAACUCAGUACAGCGAUGGAAAGGUGAGAAGAACCCCGACAAGGGGAGGAACGUGAACCUGAAACCGUACGCUUACAAGCGGUCGGAGCCCUAUGUUUACAUGGGUGACGGCGUGCCUUUUGCAAAAUGAUCCGGCGAGUUAUUGUUCAUAGCAGGUUAAGUCUCUACGGGACGAAGCCACAGGGAAACCGAGUCUGAAUAGGGCGAUUUGGUUAUGGGCAAUAGGCGCGAAACUGUGUGAUCUACCCAUGGACAGGUUGAAGCGCGGGUUAAACUGCGUGGAGGACCGAACUCAUUUGGGUUGAAAACCGAUGGGAUGAUCUGUGGGGAGGAGUGAAAGUCUAAUCAAACACAGAGAUAGCU
RNAcentral lists this ribosomal RNA (831 nucleotides) under Planctomycetota bacterium. RNAcentral describes it as "partial 23S ribosomal RNA". It matches the Rfam family "Bacterial large subunit ribosomal RNA", at positions 1 to 850 of the family's 2925-position model. Lineage: Bacteria; Pseudomonadati; Planctomycetota. The record is from RNAcentral.